GAGUGGCGAACGGGUGAGUAACACGUGGGUAACCUGCCCAUCAGAAGGGGAUAACACUUGGAAACAGGUGCUAAUACCGUAUAACAAUCGAAACCGCAUGGUUUCGUUUUGAAAGGCGCUUUACGGUGCCGCUGAUGGAUGGACCCGCGGUGCAUUAGCUAGUUGGUGAGGUAACGGCUCACCAAGGCCACGAUGCAUAGCCGACCUGAGAGGGUGAUCGGCCACAUUGGGACUGAGACACGGCCCAAACUCCUACGGGAGGCAGCAGUAGGGAAUCUUCGGCAAUGGACGAAAGUCUGACCGAGCAACGCCGCGUGAGUGAAGAAGGUUUUCGGAUCGUAAAACUCUGUUGUUAGAGAAGAACAAGGGUGAGAGUAACUGUUCACCCCUUGACGGUAUCUAACCAGAAAGCCACGGCUAACUACGUGCCAGCAGCCGCGGUAAUACGUAGGUGGCAAGCGUUGUCCGGAUUUAUUGGGCGUAAAGCGAGCGCAGGCGGUU
This 501-nucleotide ribosomal RNA is filed under the name Enterococcus mundtii. RNAcentral's name for it is "bacterial SSU rRNA". It matches the Rfam family "Bacterial small subunit ribosomal RNA", at positions 93 to 580 of the family's 1533-position model. Lineage: Bacteria; Bacillati; Bacillota; Bacilli; Lactobacillales; Enterococcaceae. The record is from RNAcentral.